Molecule: long non-coding RNA, 2089 nt
Organism: Megalopta genalis
Lineage: Eukaryota; Metazoa; Arthropoda; Insecta; Hymenoptera; Halictidae
Source: RefSeq, a predicted model, not a curated record
AUCAAUUUAAUGUUCAGAAGUAGGAAUACUAUUUAAAAACUGAUUCGUUUUGAAUUCGUAAACUAUUGGUCACUGAUCCUGCAAAACACCAGCAAGAUAAUGGUGCUCGAAGAAACACAAUCAUAUAGCUGGAAACAAUAAACACGAAGAUUGCAGAAUGAUAAAAAGAAAAUGUCUCCAAGAAACCGCAAGAGCUGAAUCAGUAAUGACAACAAAUACAAUCGAAAAGACGACAGACGUUGAUGAAAACGAUAAAUGAUAAACAACCGAACAUUAUUUUCCACAGAUAUCUUUGCAGGUCGACCGAACGAAAGAACAAUAGAGGAUCAAUAUGGAACAACUUCCUUCCAGGCGAGGUUACGGAAAGGGAAAUCGGAGGGUCACAGGAGGGUUGCAAAAAAUGGAUUUUUGUCUUGGUGCCGGAUGGACCAGCCCUUAAUGAAACUGGAGAUGGCGGGACAAGGAAAAGGGACUCGGAGAGAGGGAUCAUCGGCGAUAUUUUUUUCACCCUCGUAAAUAUUCCCCCGAAGCGGGGGCAUAUUAACAAACGAAACGGUGUACGGACCCACCCGUCCUUGAGCCUAGCCGAGUGGAAGCUGCUGAUUGGUAAUCGUUAAUUACUCCGGCAACUUCCUUCCCGAGGAGCUCCUCUAUUCGGACAGUUUGAAAAAUAUCGGCACUUUUGGCCCCCAGUGGACAAAGAGAGGUCCGAGGUAAAAAGGGAGAAGGUGCUACUAGGGAGAGAGGCCCGCGGAACAAGAACGUAUUGAUCGUGUUAGAGUCUUCGGCCCCGAGAGCCUCUAUCCCGAUGCCGAAGGGAGCCAAUGAGAGAUUUCGAGGGUGAAUUUAGAACAAGAAUGGCGACUGGAGGAUCAGCCUGAGUCCGCUUGCCGGCUCGGGAUCCCCCGGCGUUUUUAUCGUGUCCGAAUUAUUUGCAGCGUGCCUCGGCUCCAUAAUGAAUUUUCCACGAUUUUACUUUUUCAUUAAGUUCUCCGCGAAUCCGAAAAUUAUUCCCGGAAUACAUGAGGAAUUUAGUAGCAUUGCUAGAGAGCGACCGAAGACUUUUAUGUAAUCGAAGCAAUUUGAUGCGCAGAAAGAUGUUGGAUGAUCGAUGCCUGAUACACAAUUUGGGUAACAAUGAUCUAGAAGCAGAACAAUUUGUUCAACCGUGACGGUUAAAAAGCUCGCAAUCCGAGCAAACGGUAUUCCACGCGUCUGUCAAAUUAAUUAAGCUGCAAUUCCUCAUUUUAAUCGGACGACCCUUUUUGUUUUCGACAUCGUUUCAUUGAUUCCUAAGAAAGUGAAAGUGGAAGGGAGCCAAUGGGAAUUCCGGAGGGUGACUCAGGCGUAAAAAUGGCGGCCGAGGUUUACAGGGAGACUAUACGCCGACGAGCUAUGUCUCGGUAUACAAAGGUAUCGUUAUAAGUUUUGAACAAGAUUAUUUUCCAGAAAUGAAAUUAACCUGAAAAUUUAUUUCUCAUUUCGUGUACGAAUUUAUAUCGAUCAGAAAUCAUGGAAGACGCAUUCAGAACUGAGAAGAUUAGAAAGACUGAUCAAAAGAAUCAGUAAUAAAAUAUAUCAACAAGUACGAUGUAAGAUAGUACAAAACAGAAUCUAUGUUUUUAAAAUAAACGUAGAAAUUAAGAACUGGCUAAUUCUGUAUGGGUCAUAGAAAACAUCCUUGGAAUAAGGUAGAUGGAAAACAUGUUCAAUAGAAUGAAGCAUUAUGAUGAUCUCGACGUAAAAUAGUAUAGAACAGAGACAAGUAUAUUAUUCAGAAAAUUUUCUUUUGAAUUGGACUAAGAAUUAAAAUAAAAAUUAAAAAUAGUUAAAUCUUCUCCAGUAUCGCAAAAAAGGAAUUUUGAAUAUGGAAACCGGAGAAAAUGUUCAAUAAAAUGAAACGCUAAUAAAAUACGUCAAUCAUCGUAACGUAAAAUAGCAUAAAAUCGACUAAAUAUAUUUAAAUAAGGCUUAAGGGCGGCACCAUUGUUACGAAUCACGGGGAACCAGGGAACAUAUUUAAAACAACGAGAACGGACGAUAUUUUGGAACAGUCUGCAAAUUUUACGCGUUUAUGGUAAUAGUGAAU